RNAcentral lists this ribosomal RNA (301 nucleotides) under uncultured bacterium. RNAcentral's name for it is "partial 16S ribosomal RNA". It matches the Rfam family "Bacterial small subunit ribosomal RNA", at positions 509 to 810 of the family's 1533-position model. The record is from RNAcentral.
CAGUCGCCGCGGUAAUACGUAGGUGGCAAGCGUUGUCCGGAAUUAUUGGGCGUAAAGGGCUCGCAGGCGGUUUCUUAAGUCUGAUGUGAAAGCCCCCGGCUCAACCGGGGAGGGUCAUUGGAAACUGGGAAACUUGAGUGCAGAAGAGGAGAGUGGAAUUCCACGUGUAGCGGUGAAAUGCGUAGAGAUGUGGAGGACACCAGUGGCGAAGGCGACUCUCUGGUCUGUAACUGACGCUGAGGAGCGAAAGCGUGGGGAGCGAGCAGGAUUAGAUACCCGCGUAGUCCCUGUCUCUUAUCAC